RNAcentral lists this small RNA (2076 nucleotides) under Arabidopsis thaliana (thale cress). Its description in RNAcentral is "ATSL178020". The stretch from base 1136 to 1246 matches the Rfam family "Small nucleolar RNA snoR9". Lineage: Eukaryota; Viridiplantae; Streptophyta; Magnoliopsida; Brassicales; Brassicaceae. The record is from RNAcentral.
AAAAAAAAAAAAAAAUGUCGCUCUCUUCUCUCGUUCAGUCGACGGAACCCUAAUUUCAUCGCCGUUCUCUACUUAUCUCGUCUCUUUCGGCCGAAACUCUUUCGGUGGUGUCGAAUUUCAAGUCAUCAAAAAUCAAAACCCAAAUCAAAGAGAUCUGUGGAAUUUUAUAUGAUUUGUUACAGGUUUUAGUUGAAUCAAGAAUAACUACUCUUUUACUUUGAUUUAAUAUGUCUAUCGUUUAGUUUUCCUCUCAAUCGAUCUAUUUAGAGAUAUUUCUACUUCUAUCAAUGUUUUGAUUCAUAUGGUUUCGUCUUCCUCCUAUGUAUCCCUCAAACAGAUUAUUACGUUUUUUAAUUUGAUUGUUGUUAUUUGGCCAAUAAAUUUCAUAUUGUCUUCCCCAGAAAAAUGUUGCUUUCCGAUCUGUAUUAUAAAUCAGCCGUAAAGUGAUGUAACUCAGCCUUAACGUGAUGUAACUCAGCCGUAACAUAUAAUUUAUACAACCUUUCGUCUUCCCUAAAUGAUAACUCAGCCGUGACAUGUAAUUUACCGAACCUUUCGUCUUCCCUGAAGCAUAUAACUCAGCCGUAACAUAUAAUUUACACUCAUCUUUCGUUUGCCCUUGAACAUAUAACUCAGCCGUGACAUGUAAAUUUAUAGAUGUCUUCCCUUAAACAUAUAACUCAGUCGUAAUGUAAUUUUACCGAACCUUUCGUCUUCCCUGGAACAUAUAACUCAGCCGCGACAUGUAAAUUGACUGAACGUUUCGUUCUUCCUUAAGCAUAUAACUCAACCGUAAUGUAAUUUUAUCGAACCUUUCGUCUUUCCUGGAACGUAUAACUCAGUCGUGACAAGUAAAUUGACUAAACCUUUCGUCUUCCCUUAAGCAUAUAACUCAGCCGUGACAUGUAAAUUUGUCGUGAAACAAUAAGAGAUACAACAUUUCGUCUAACUUUAUCAUCGAGCACCAACUUCACAAAUUUGUCGUGCGUUGUUUUCGCAUCUAUCUGCACAAGUUUACACCCUCUUUCAUCAGUGUUAAAUAUGUAUUUGUGUUUCUAUACCCAAUUCCUGGAAACAACAAUUACCAAAACUAGAUCAACCAUAUCGGGAGAAAGAUGAAAGAAAUUGAAGAAAAAUGAGGAAAAUGAUGAGGAAUUAGAAGUUCCGGUGAUGUGAAAAAUUCAAGUGAAGAAGACGAGUUGAAAAAAUUUUACCCUAUUUUUUUAUCCUUUGAUGAUGCUGACAUGGAAUGAUGACAUGAAAUAUUACAGCCGACGUCGUUUUGAAUUGAUGAGGUAGCAACUAAGCCACCAAACGAACAUUUGAUAACUCAGCCAUCAAGCAAAUCUAUAAGUCAGUCGCAACAUGAAUACUAUUACAGUAAUUAAAAAAGGAAAAAAAAAUAAAGUUAAGUCAGCCGUGUAAUGUCGUAACUCAACUAACUCAACCGUAACGUUCAACAACUCGGCCAUAACUGCAUGAUAUUAUAGUAAUUAAUCUUUUAAAAAUAAGUCAGCCAUAACAUGGCUGAGUUAUAUCGUAAUCCAGCUAUUGGCGGCUGAUUUAUAUCACUCGACUAUAACUCAGCCGUCACAUCUUUCCAUAACUAAGCUAAUCAAAACUAUAACUCGGCCGCGUCGAGGAAAUAAGUCAGCCUUUUUCUCAUAACUCAGCCAUAUUGUUGGCUGGGUUAUCGUAUAACUUCUUAUAACUCGGCCGAACAUCCUUAACUCAAGCAUACUGUUGCCUGAGUUAUAGUAUAACUCAGGCAACAUUUUUCAACUCAGCCGUAACGUCUGGCUGAGUUAUACUCAUACUUCGCCGUUUUGUUAUGACUCAUAUAUUUUUGACGUAAGUCAGCCGCAACAUACCGUAACUCAGCCGGCUGAGUUCAUUUAAUCCACGUCAGCAAGUUCUGACGUGGCAGUGGCAUUCCCUGUAAUUAUGUUUUUUUCGGUAACGUUUAGUAGGGGCACGCUGGGUAAUAAAAAAACUCGAAAAUAUAACAGUAAUUAAAAAAAGUUCUGUCGUGUUCUGGUAAUAACACCUAAUUUCUUACCCACAGUUAAUCUCCCU